ACGGGUGAGUAACGCGUGGGUAACCUGCCCUGUACAGGGGGAGUAACAGCUGGAAACGGCUGCUAAUACCGCAUAAGCGCACGAGGAGACAUCUCCUUGUGUGAAAAACUCCGGUGGUACAGGAUGGGCCCGCGUCUGAUUAGCUAGUUGGUGAGAUAACAGCCCACCAAGGCGACGAUCAGUAGCCGACCUGAGAGGGUGACCGGCCACAUUGGGACUGAGACACGGCCCAGACUCCUACGGGAGGCAGCAUG
RNAcentral lists this ribosomal RNA (254 nucleotides) under uncultured bacterium. RNAcentral's name for it is "partial 16S ribosomal RNA". It matches the Rfam family "Bacterial small subunit ribosomal RNA", at positions 102 to 353 of the family's 1533-position model. The record is from RNAcentral.